AAACAAUGGUUGCUACUCUGUUCCUGGGGAAAGGGUUGGUACUUUGUCAGGAUGUUUAAGGACUUCUUUGCUCUUCAGGAUGAGAGGGGACUUGAGGAUUAGUGGUGACUUUUGGCUGAGGGCAGCCGUGCCUUUGUGUGAGAGAUGAGGACCUUGCCAGCAAUCUCAGCUUUGCAGAGACAGGAAUCUGAAAGACUUGGGGCCUUUCCUUCAAUCUAAAGUAAAACCUCCACCACCAAAAAGACAAACUUCUUUGUACCAGAGGCAUUUGUUCCUCUCCCUGCAUCCACAAGAGAGCAUGAGGAUAGUCAAGAGUUCAAGAAAGCCACACCUUAAGUCAGCCUCAGUGACUUCUACUGGACAACAGAAGCAUCACACAAUUUAUACAUGAGGAACAUUCCAAGUCAUUUACUGUUGCUCCCAUAUUUUACAGUUGAUAUGAGAUGGAAGUUGAAGGAAACAGUCAAAGAUGUCCUCAAGGACCUUGAUUAACUUCAUUGAUGCUGCUUAUCUGUAUUCCUUUCAUUUUUUCUUUCUUUCAAUGUUGUUAGCAUUCUUUCCUAUAUAUCCUUCAGGAGCUGACAUUCCAUGUGACAAAUCAGAACCCGCUGACUGCCCCCUGAGCAGUCCUAGGCAAGGCUAAAAGCUACAAUUGGUCCAUGGAAAAGUGGAAGGAAGGCACAGGAAGUACAAAAGGAAUAGUCUUUAAAAAGGGCAAGAACUUGCUGUGAUGAGCUCUUUCACCAUGGAAGUAGACUUGAAGGAGCUUGGGAACCUCAGACUGCUCUUGAAUUGUCCAUUAGAGCUACCACUUGGGUGAGUGAAAAAGGCUGACUCCUUUCCCAGGCUUGUUCUGGAGACACUAGCCUCCUGAGAGGCCCCUUGUGGCUAGAACCCUUGUUUAAUUUACCUCUGAAACCCCUUUGCUGGGCCUCUUAAGCCCUGCUUGGUUUGGACCAGGCUGGAGUAAAUAUCUAUUCUCUCUGAUAUUUUUUUACUUUCAUUCUUUCUCCUUUUGUAAAUAAAUUGCCAUAAAAAUCAUUUCA
RNAcentral lists this long non-coding RNA (1046 nucleotides) under Monodelphis domestica (gray short-tailed opossum). RNAcentral describes it as "lncRNA (ENSMODG00000034153.2)". Lineage: Eukaryota; Metazoa; Chordata; Mammalia; Didelphimorphia; Didelphidae. The record is from RNAcentral.